RNAcentral lists this non-coding RNA (26 nucleotides) under Homo sapiens (human). The record is from RNAcentral. Lineage: Eukaryota; Metazoa; Chordata; Mammalia; Primates; Hominidae.
UGCCACUGAGGACCAUACUGGAAUGC